GAUGAAGUGAGUACAGAACUGUUUAAGUAAAAAAAACUACCUGCUGUCUCCCACUAACUACGACCAUUUCUUUGAUCUAUUCAGAUCUAUCCAAACAAAUAAAGGCAAGAUCUUCAUACACGGAGAGAAAUUUUGGCUGGGAACCUACUAAUUAAUUUUGAUCAUAUUGUCGACCAAAUUUGAAACAGGAAGUGAAGCAUCCAAAAAAUUAUGCUUUGUCACAAUACUGCGCGCAAAAAACUUAUCGAAAAUUCAUGCACACCCCGAACGCAUUGUAUUCAUUGGAAAUACAGUGCAAUCUGGUUAAAUGCUCUUACUUUGGGAAAAAUACUAAAUUGAAGUGAGAGUGAAUAGAGCGUCCGAUGUAAGGAUGACUUAAUAAUGAUCCAAGAUGAUUGGUCAAAAAUUGAAGGAACAAUAAGUGGAGCAAUAAAACUUUACUAGAGUUGCAUGUUAUUCUUUAUAAUACAUAUAUACAGAUAUGUAUGUAUACAUAUGUAUAAUAUAUAUACACAUUGUCACUUGGUUGGUAAAUUUGCAGUAUCAACGCUUGACAGUGGGAUAAUGACCCAAUUAUAUGUCAUUUACACGUGACUCAUAUUGUCAAUUUGUUCAUGUCCGGUACACGACAUUCUAAUAAUCGUACAUACGUCUUGCGCAAAUAUACACGGUUAUAAGGUAUUUCGUUAGUUAAUGAAAGGGCGCCGGGAAUUGAAUGCAUGACAAUAUUAAAUAUCACUUGUAUGUAUGAUACUGUCACUUUGCUGCAUUUUAUUCAAUGCGCUUGGAUUUUUUUUUAUAUCAUAUAAUUAUGAAAAAUUCUUUUAUAAUAUAUGGAUAGUUUUAAUUUCAAAAGGUCACGAUUCAUUUUUAAUGAUAUUUAAAAUUACAAAAAUAAAUGGGUUUAAUAUUUGUUAUUUUUUUAUGUUUAGAAAUAUUUAGUGCGAAACAGCUUAAAACAAGAUGAAAACACUUUACAAUUUUUGGAAAAUCACAAAACCUUACUGUCAAUAAACCGGCUAUAAAAGUGAACGUUUAAGUUAUUGAAUUACAAUAUAUCGAGUUUAGAGUUAUUUUUCAAUACAAAUCGGGUAAAUAACAGACUUGAACGGAAUAAAUUUCCUUGACCGGUUUUGAUUUGUAUUUUAAUUUUUGAACAGGUUUUGAUGAUAAACAAUUAUAAACAACUGGUUAAUUUUGAAAUUAAUUGGUUUAAUUCACAUAACAUUAAAUAUUCAAUUACACUUCUUGUUAUUAGUCUUAAAAAA
Long non-coding RNA from Microplitis demolitor, 1268 nucleotides. RefSeq lists it as uncharacterized. The transcript is spliced from 4 exons. The record is from RefSeq and is a predicted model, not a curated record. Lineage: Eukaryota; Metazoa; Arthropoda; Insecta; Hymenoptera; Braconidae.